This 414-nucleotide ribosomal RNA is filed under the name uncultured bacterium. RNAcentral's name for it is "bacterial SSU rRNA". It matches the Rfam family "Bacterial small subunit ribosomal RNA", at positions 355 to 775 of the family's 1533-position model. The record is from RNAcentral.
UCGAGGAUCUCCGGCAAUGGGCGCAAGCCUGACCGAGCGACGCCGCGUGUGCGAUGAAGGCCUUCGGGUCGUAAAGCACUGUCGUGGGGGAGAAAAGGCCGCAAGGCCCUGAUCGACCCCAGGAGGAAGCACGGGCUAAGUUCGUGCCAGCAGCCGCGGUAAGACGAACCGUGCAAACGUUAUUCGGAAUCACUGGGCUUAAAGGGCGCGUAGGCGGGCCGCCAGGUCCGGGGUGAAAGCCUCCAGCUCAACUGGAGAAGUGCCUUGGAUACCGGCGGCCUCGAGGGAGGUAGGGGCGUGCGGAACUUCGGGUGGAGCGGUGAAAUGCGUAGAUAUCCGAAGGAACACCGGUGGCGAAAGCGGCGCGCUGGAUCUCUUCUGACGCUGAGGCGCGAAAGCCAGGGGAGCAAACGG